RNAcentral lists this ribosomal RNA (684 nucleotides) under Streptomyces sp. PC5048. RNAcentral's name for it is "bacterial SSU rRNA". It matches the Rfam family "Bacterial small subunit ribosomal RNA", at positions 85 to 783 of the family's 1533-position model. Lineage: Bacteria; Bacillati; Actinomycetota; Actinomycetes; Kitasatosporales; Streptomycetaceae. The record is from RNAcentral.
GGGUGGAUUAGUGGCGAACGGGUGAGUAACACGUGGGCAAUCUGCCCUUCACUCUGGGACAAGCCCUGGAAACGGGGUCUAAUACCGGAUAUGAGCCUCCCAGGCAUCUGGGAGGCUGUAAAGCUCCGGCGGUGAAGGAUGAGCCCGCGGCCUAUCAGCUUGUUGGUGAGGUAAUGGCUCACCAAGGCGACGACGGGUAGCCGGCCUGAGAGGGCGACCGGCCACACUGGGACUGAGACACGGCCCAGACUCCUACGGGAGGCAGCAGUGGGGAAUAUUGCACAAUGGGCGAAAGCCUGAUGCAGCGACGCCGCGUGAGGGAUGACGGCCUUCGGGUUGUAAACCUCUUUCAGCAGGGAAGAAGCGAGAGUGACGGUACCUGCAGAAGAAGCGCCGGCUAACUACGUGCCAGCAGCCGCGGUAAUACGUAGGGCGCAAGCGUUGUCCGGAAUUAUUGGGCGUAAAGAGCUCGUAGGCGGCUUGUCACGUCGAUUGUGAAAGCUCGGGGCUUAACCCCGAGUCUGCAGUCGAUACGGGCUAGCUAGAGUGUGGUAGGGGAGAUCGGAAUUCCUGGUGUAGCGGUGAAAUGCGCAGAUAUCAGGAGGAACACCGGUGGCGAAGGCGGAUCUCUGGGCCAUUACUGACGCUGAGGAGCGAAAGCGUGGGGAGCGAACAGGAUUAGAU